CAGUCACCUGCUGGCACCACGCAGCCAGGAGACUAAAGUUCAUUUCAAAGAAUAAACUGUACCAGAUCCAAGGAAGCCUGUGAAGACUACGUUUCCAGGACUGGAAAAGCUAUGACAGACAUCAACCAGAUGAUCAUCAAUUUGGCUGUCUUUGGCAGGACGCAGAGUGGAAAAAGUUCGGCUGGGAAUAUCCUUUUGGGAAGUGAUGACUUCUACAGCAGUCUCUCUCCAGGUUCUGUAACCACGGAGUGCAGCCUGGGCCGCAGUUGUCACCUCCACAGCUUCAUGCGUCGAGGGGGACAAGAAAUAACCCUACAGAUACAGGUGUUGGACACUCCAGGGUAUCCACACAGCAAGCUGAGCAUGAAACAUGUAAAACAGGAAGUCAAGAAGGCCCUGGCACAUCACUUUGGGCAAGAGGGUCUCCAUCUUGCUCUGCUGGUCCAGAGAGCUGAUGUGCCUUUCUUUGGACAGGAAGCAUCAAACCCAGUCCAGUUGAUCCAGGUAAUACAAAGAUGUAAUCAUACUGGCACCAUUUUUCCUACUUGGGAGCAUUCUCUGCAGAGGCAAGGCCCAGGAACAAACUGGCUCAAAAGGAACUUCUGGGAGAUUCUUGGAAGAAUUACACUGCUGUUCUUUUUAGCCAUGCAGAAAAAAUAGAAGAGGCGGGGAUCAGUGAAGACGAGUAUUUGCGUGAGGCUCCCGAUGCGCUGCUGAAUCUGCUAAGCUCUGUUCAGCAGAGGUUUUCCUUCCAAAUACUUUUGGAGUUAACUCCUAUGAAUCAUGCUUGCCAAGACUUACUCAGAAGAAAAUCCACAACCCUACAGUACAAGAAACAAGUGUGAGCAAGCUGUUCCACCCCGUUCCAAAUGACAUGGUACCUGAUAAUGCAGCUCUACAUGAGUUUUCCAUCUCACUGUUGAAAAACUUAAGGUUACCACCUAAGUAUCAGCUAUGAUUGGGCACACCCCAAAGGGGCUAUUCCUAUUUAAAAGUCAUCUCUCCAUCCAUCCAUCCAUCCAUUCAUCCAUCCAUCCAUCCAUCCAUCCAUGCAUCCAUCCAUCCAUCCAUCUUAAAUCUAGUGACUAUGUCAUUUUGGGUCAUAACCCACUCUCUUGCUUUUCAAAAGAAAUUGGAAAAAAAUAUUCCAAAAGAAACUAGUAAACAUUUUUAGUUUGAUCAAACUAGGGAGAGAUGUCCUACAUAAAUCAUUAAUAGAUAAACGCCCUACAGAUUUGCCUAUAGGCAAUAAGAUGGACACAUUUUCUUGAGGUUCCCUUUCCCUAGAGCCUGUGAAAAAUUGACAUACAAAUGAACAGGCCAAUUGACCAUUUGUCAGCUUGACACACCAAUAUAUUACCAUUAAACUAUAA
Arvicola amphibius (Eurasian water vole) is the source of this 1373-nucleotide RNA transcript. It is a transcript of the gene named GIMAP family P-loop NTPase domain containing 1, with no coding region annotated. Lineage: Eukaryota; Metazoa; Chordata; Mammalia; Rodentia; Cricetidae. The record is from RefSeq and is a predicted model, not a curated record. The transcript is spliced from 4 exons.